Molecule: ribosomal RNA, 433 nt
Filed under: uncultured bacterium
Lineage: Bacteria
Description: partial 16S ribosomal RNA
Rfam family: Bacterial small subunit ribosomal RNA
Source: RNAcentral
AACGAACGCUGGCGGCAUGCCUAACACAUGCAAGUCGAACGAGACCUUCGGGUCUAGUGGCGCACGGGUGCGUAACGCGUGGGAACCUGCCCUUAGGUUCGGAAUAACUCCCCGAAAGGGGUGCUAAUACCGGAUAAUGUCUUCGGACCAAAGAUUUAUCGCCUUUGGUUGGGCCCGCGUUGGAUUAGCUAGUUGGUAGGGUAAAAGCCUACCAAGGCGACGAUCCAUAGAUGGUCUGAGAGGAUGAUCAGCCACACUGGGACUGAGACACGGCCCAGAAUACUACGGGAGGCAGCAGUGGGGAAUAUUGGAAAAUGGGAGAAAGCAUGAUCAAGCAAUGCCGCGUGAGUGAUGAAGGCCUGAGGGUUGUAAAGCUCUUUUACACGGGAUGAUAAUGACAGUACCGGGAGAAUAAGCUCCGGCUAACUCCGUG